RNAcentral lists this small RNA (145 nucleotides) under Neomoorella glycerini. Its description in RNAcentral is "Moorella glycerini c-di-AMP sequence". It matches the Rfam family "c-di-AMP riboswitch aptamer (ydaO/yuaA leader)". Rfam says of the family: This family represents a conserved RNA structure found upstream of the ydaO and yuaA genes in Bacillus subtilis and related genes in other bacteria. The ydaO/yuaA element is thought to act as a genetic "off" switch for the ydaO and yuaA genes in its native state. It is believed that the element may be triggered during osmotic shock leading to activation of ydaO, a predicted amino acid transporter gene, and members of the yuaA-yubG operon which code for KtrA and KtrB K+ transporters. Lineage: Bacteria; Bacillati; Bacillota; Clostridia; Neomoorellales; Neomoorellaceae. The record is from RNAcentral.
UAUCCUAGAACGCUGAAUUGCGGUACGCAGCCGUAAGCGGGGGACCCAUUUUCCGGGGUGAAUCUUGCCGGUUAAUUCCGGUGAGUAGGGCUAACCUUCAGCCCGAAUCCGUCAGCUAACUUCGUAAGCGUGGAAGGGGAUAUAU